This 1386-nucleotide long non-coding RNA is filed under the name Equus caballus (horse). RNAcentral describes it as "lncRNA (ENSECAG00000052104.1)". The record is from RNAcentral. Lineage: Eukaryota; Metazoa; Chordata; Mammalia; Perissodactyla; Equidae.
GUUUCUUUGGAGAACACUGACCAGUGUGGAUGCUGUGCACUUGUGGAGAUGGAAGGGCCUCUGUGGGGAGAGAGGACACAGAAAGUGGAGGUGGCGGCUGACCUGGAUCCACACCCAGAGCCUCGCAUGGUCCGUCUCGGCUGCAAGUUCCUGCACAUCCUGGGCUCAGGGCCCGCAUCAUCCAGGUUCAGGAAGCUUUGGGGGGCUUCUCUUGUGAGCUCUGGGGGCGCUGAGGCUGAAGAAUGUCUUACGCUCAUGAGAAGCAGCAUAGGAACAGAUGUUUAUGUUAAAGAAUACAGAUAAGCUUGUGAGCUCCACAAGGAAAUCCUGUACGUGACCCUCAGAUAGGGGCUGGUGAAGAAAAUGAUCCUGGGCGGCUGCCCGGCUCAGAGACGGCCUCGGACAUGGCUGUUGUGUCAAGAGGGUCUUUUCCUCUGAGCAGCCUCUGCCCACCUGUGGCCUGACCGGCCUCUGGGCGUCCCCAGGAACACCUGAGACAUUCAGACGUGGCCUGUGCCUCCCUGAGACCACUGAGGUCAGGGAGGAGGCACGGAGCCUCCAGGCAGUGGUGGAGAAGCGUGACUGCAGCAGCCGGCACACGAGGUUCCUGGAUGUCGGUUUGUUGCAAAUGUUUCCCCAGAGAGACUGAGCGAGGCCUGGGCCCAGGACAGGAUGAGUCACCCGCUUCCAUGGCAGGCCUCCGAUGCUCCUAGCAGGGGGUCACCGCGCAGGGAGCGCCCGUUCUCCCCAGGCAGCAUCGAAAGGACCAACGCUGAGAAUUCUGUGACCCGCAAAUUGUGGAUCCACGCGAGGCGGGACAGGAGCCCCACCAUCUGCAGAGCAACGUCGUCUGUCAACACAGCCGUGCAGCCUCGGGCCGGAACAGAGAGGGCUGGGGGCGGAAAACAAAGACAAAGUACAUCUACUCGAGUCCUCUCUUCCUUAGUUUCAACUUUCACAGCUCCCACUGGUUUCCCUUUUAACCAGAACCAUUUUAAUAUUCAUCCACAUAAACAUUCCCACUGCAGACUCAGGCUGGCAGCCCCAUGGCGGCUCCAGGCGCUAAAAUGCCAAGAAGACGGCGAGUCUCGGUGGAGCACCUCCUUCCAAAGGGACCUGACGCACAUGCAAAAGCUGCGCUCGGACGAGGCGGCUGAAUGCUCCAGCCCUCGAGUCCAUAAAGCCUCGAAAUUGCUAAGAGCUUGCAAAGCGGGUGGUGCCGGGUCCUCUCUGGGUGGGCCAGGCCAGGCCACCUCCAUAUUCCUCUUCUCCAGUUUCCACCCCUCGGGUCUACGGUGCCCAGGAAAUGGCACGGACGUUCUCGCUUCUGGUCCCUGUGGAAUGGGGCUUCUCCCCCACUGCUGCAGAGGCUGUUAUUGUCCCAGC